UACGGAGGGUGCAAGCGUUAAUCGGAAUUACUGGGCGUAAAGCGUGCGCAGGCGGUUUGUUAAGUCCGUUGUGAAAGCCCCGAGCUCAACUUGGGAAUUGCAGUGGAUACUGGCAGGCUGGAGUACGGAAGAGGCAAGUGGAAUUCCCGGUGUAGCGGUGAAAUGCGCAGAUAUCGGGAGGAACACCAGUGGCGAAGGCGGCGAUCUGGGAAGAUACUGACGCUGAGGUGCGAAAGCGUGGGGAGCAAACAGG
This 253-nucleotide ribosomal RNA is filed under the name uncultured bacterium. RNAcentral's name for it is "partial 16S ribosomal RNA". It matches the Rfam family "Bacterial small subunit ribosomal RNA", at positions 524 to 776 of the family's 1533-position model. The record is from RNAcentral.